Podarcis lilfordi (Lilford's wall lizard) is the source of this 75-nucleotide non-coding RNA. Lineage: Eukaryota; Metazoa; Chordata; Lepidosauria; Squamata; Lacertidae. The record is from the annotation of a GenBank genome assembly.
GCUGUGUGUUCCUACACUGUUAGAGCGUGGUGCUGAUAAUGCCGAGGUUGCAGGUUCAAUCCCUGCACAGCUACA